This 253-nucleotide ribosomal RNA is filed under the name uncultured bacterium. RNAcentral describes it as "partial 16S ribosomal RNA". It matches the Rfam family "Bacterial small subunit ribosomal RNA", at positions 524 to 776 of the family's 1533-position model. The record is from RNAcentral.
UACAGAGGUCCCAAGCGUUGUUCGGAUUCAUUGGGCGUAAAGGGUGCGUAGGCGGCGCGGUAAGUCGGGUGUGAAAUCUCGGAGCUUAACUCCGAAACUGCAUUCGAUACUGCCGUGCUUGAGGACUGGAGAGGAGACUGGAAUUUACGGUGUAGCGGUGAAAUGCGUAGAUAUCGUAAGGAAGACCAGUGGCGAAGGCGAGUCCCUGGACAACUCCUGACACUGAGGCACGAAAGCUAGGGGAGCAAACAGG